Molecule: ribosomal RNA, 339 nt
Filed under: Haemaphysalis erinacei
Lineage: Eukaryota; Metazoa; Arthropoda; Arachnida; Ixodida; Ixodidae
Description: partial 12S ribosomal RNA
Source: RNAcentral
AAACUAGGAUUAGAUACCCUAUUAUUAAGAGCUAUAUAUUGUUAGUAUAUAUAUUUCACGAAAACAAAAAAUUGUGGCGGUAUUUUAAGCUUUUCAGAGGAAUUUGCUCUUUAAUGGAUAAAACACCUAAAUCUUACUAAAAUUGGUUAAGCAGUUUGUAUACCACUAUUUAAGUAAUAAUUUGUAAUUAUUACUUAAAUUUAUUUUAAAUAAAAAAAGUUAAGUCAAGGUGCAACAAAAAUUUUAGUAUGAAGUGAAUUACAUUUCUUUUAAGUUAUAAUAUCUGAAAAUAAAAAUUAGGAUUUGAAAGUAAAAUUUAAUAAAAGGAAAAUUGAAUAG